AUAUAUGAGCGGCUUUUUGGUUAAGAUUAAGUGUAAUAUUUGUUCUUAUCAGUUUAAUAUCUGAUAUAAAGAAUUAAAUUAAUUUUUUAUGAAGGAGAAUCCAUUAUCCGUACGUAUUCAUGUAUUAUAUUACACAAGCAACUAGGAACGAAGCCAUAUAUAGUUUUGGUGGGGCAGUUGCCCCACCU
Small nuclear RNA from Zingiber officinale, 188 nucleotides. RefSeq annotates it as U2 spliceosomal RNA. The record is from RefSeq and is a predicted model, not a curated record. The transcript has a single exon. NCBI's taxonomy places the organism in Eukaryota, Viridiplantae, Streptophyta, Magnoliopsida, Zingiberales, Zingiberaceae.